GAUGAACGCUGGCGGCGUGCCUAAUACAUGCAAGUCGAGCGAACAGACGAGAGUGCUUGCACUCUCUGACGUUAGCGGCGGACGGGUGAGUAACACGUGGGUAACCUACCUAUAAGACUGGGAUAACUUCGGGAGACCGGAGCUAAUACCGGAUAAUAUUUAGCUUCGCAUGAAGCAAUAGUGAAAGACGGUUCUGCUGUCACUUAUAGAUGGACCCGCGGUGUAUUAGCUAGUUGGUGAGGUAACGGCUCACCAAGGCAACGAUACAUAGCCGACCUGAGAGGGUGAUCGGCCACACUGGGACUGAGACACGGCCCAGACUCCUACGGGAGGCAGCAGUAGGGAAUCUUCCGCAAUGGACGAAAGUCUGACGGAGCAAUGCCGCGUGAGUGAAGAAGGUUUUCGGAUCGUAAAACUCUGUUGUAAGGGAAGAACAAGUACGUUAGUAACUGAACGUACCUUGACGGUACCUUACCAGAAAGCCACGGCUAACUACGUG
This 499-nucleotide ribosomal RNA is filed under the name uncultured bacterium. RNAcentral describes it as "partial 16S ribosomal RNA". It matches the Rfam family "Bacterial small subunit ribosomal RNA", at positions 28 to 507 of the family's 1533-position model. The record is from RNAcentral.